Pristis pectinata (smalltooth sawfish) is the source of this 150-nucleotide long non-coding RNA. RefSeq lists it as uncharacterized. The record is from RefSeq and is a predicted model, not a curated record. Lineage: Eukaryota; Metazoa; Chordata; Chondrichthyes; Rhinopristiformes; Pristidae. The transcript has 3 exons.
UCAGUCUCACUCGCACAGACACGGGGAAAGGUGCUGCACAGAUGAAUAAUUGAGGAUAGCAGCCAGAGGGGGAAAGAUACACCUGCAUGUCCGUAACCUGUGGAAGAGGUGGUGUUGGCAAUCUCUGGGACACCUGUUGGCACACUAGGC